Molecule: ribosomal RNA, 245 nt
Filed under: uncultured bacterium
Lineage: Bacteria
Description: partial 16S ribosomal RNA
Rfam family: Bacterial small subunit ribosomal RNA
Source: RNAcentral
UACGUAUGGGGCAAGCGUUGUUCGGAAUUAUUGGGCGUAAAGGGCGUCUAGGCGGGGGAUUAAGUUAGAUGUGAAAGCUAUGGGCUCAACCCAUAAACUGCAUCUAAGACUGGUUCUCUUGAGUUCGGGAGAGGAGAGCGGAAUUCCAGGUGUAGCGGUGAAAUGCGUAGAUAUCUGGAAGAACACCAGUGGCGAAGGCGGCUCUCUGGCCUAGAACUGACGCUGAAGCGCGAAAGCGUGGGGAG